This 372-nucleotide ribosomal RNA is filed under the name Triticum aestivum (bread wheat). RNAcentral describes it as "partial small subunit ribosomal RNA". Lineage: Eukaryota; Viridiplantae; Streptophyta; Magnoliopsida; Poales; Poaceae. The record is from RNAcentral.
AUGGCCAUAAGCGGUAGUACGGCUCUGGUUCCGCGCUGGUACCGCCUCAACUCGAGGCGUUGUUUUCUCGUGUCGGGUUCAGUGGCAGUAGGAACGGCAGUACCGCUCAUGUGCGGUAGUACUGCGGCUACCAUCGCCCCUAGUGCCGCUCAAUGGCCCUCCUCCCUGUUCCUUCUCCAUGUGCUUUUGGUAGGCGAUGUGCGCGGUCCCAGCGGUAGUACCGUUGGGCCAAGCGGCAGUACCGCUUCGGCCAACGGUAGUACCACUAGCUCCAGCGGUACUGCCGCUCAUACGGCUCUGCCUCGCACUCUGUUUCGCUCCGCUCUCCGUGUUCUACCGCCCGGGCGGUACUACCGCUCCCCUGAGCGGUAG